AGAUUGAACGCUGGCGGCAGGCCUAACACAUGCAAGUCGAGCGGUAGAGAGGUGCUUGCACCUCUUGAGAGCGGCGGACGGGUGAGUAAUGCCUAGGAAUCUGCCUAGUGGUGGGGGAUAACGUUCGGAAACGGACGCUAAUACCGCAUACGUCCUACGGGAGAAAGCGGGGGACCUUCGGGCCUCGCGCCAUUAGAUGAGCCUAGGUCGGAUUAGCUAGUUGGUGAGGUAAUGGCUCACCAAGGCGACGAUCCGUAACUGGUCUGAGAGGAUGAUCAGUCACACUGGAACUGAGACACGGUCCAGACUCCUACGGGAGCAGCAGUGGGGAAUAGUUGGACAAUGGGACGAAAGCCUGAUCCAGCCAUGCCGCGUGUGUGAAGAAGGUCUUCGGAUUGGUAAAAGCUAACGUUUAAGGUUGGGGAAGGGUAAGGGGUUUACGUAAAC
This 447-nucleotide ribosomal RNA is filed under the name uncultured soil bacterium. RNAcentral's name for it is "bacterial SSU rRNA". It matches the Rfam family "Bacterial small subunit ribosomal RNA", at positions 26 to 473 of the family's 1533-position model. The record is from RNAcentral.